Molecule: ribosomal RNA, 490 nt
Filed under: uncultured bacterium
Lineage: Bacteria
Description: partial 16S ribosomal RNA
Rfam family: Bacterial small subunit ribosomal RNA
Source: RNAcentral
AUUGAACGCUGGCGGCGGGCCUAACACAUGCAAGUCGAACGGUAACAGGAAGAAGCUUGCUUCUUUGCUGACGAGUGGCGGACGGGUGAGUAAUGUCUGGGAAACUGCCUGAUGGAGGGGGAUAACUACUGGAAACGGUAGCUAAUACCGCAUAACGUCGCAAGACCAAAGAGGGGGACCUUCGGGCCUCUUGCCAUCGGAUGUGCCCAGAUGGGAUUAGCUAGUAGGUGGGGUAACGGCUCACCUAGGCGACGAUCCCUAGCUGGUCUGAGAGGAUGACCAGCCACACUGGAACUGAGACACGGUCCAGACUCCUACGGGAGGCAGCAGUGGGGAAUAUUGCACAAUGGGCGCAAGCCUGAUACAGCCAUGCCGCGUGUAUGAAGAAGGCCUUCGGGUUGUAAAGUACUUUCAGCGGGGAGGAAGGGAGUAAAGUUAAUACCUUUGCUCAUUGACGUUACCCGCAGAAGAAGCACCGGCUAACUCCGUG